Molecule: ribosomal RNA, 433 nt
Filed under: uncultured bacterium
Lineage: Bacteria
Description: partial 16S ribosomal RNA
Rfam family: Bacterial small subunit ribosomal RNA
Source: RNAcentral
AACGAACGCUGGCGGCAGGCCUAACACAUGCAAGUCGAGCGAGGACUUCGGUUCUAGCGGCGGACGGGUGAGUAACGCGUGGGAAUGUGCCCUUCUCUACGGAAUAGCCCUGGGAAACUGGGAGUAAUACCGUAUACGCCCUAUUGGGGAAAGAUUUAUCGGAGAAGGAUCAGCCCGCGUUGGAUUAGGUAGUUGGUGGGGUAAUGGCCUACCAAGCCGACGAUCCAUAGCUGGUUUGAGAGGAUGAUCAGCCACACUGGGACUGAGACACGGCCCAGACUCCUACGGGAGGCAGCAGUGGGGAAUCUUAGACAAAGGGGGCAACCCUGAUCUAGCCAUGCCGGGGGAGUGAUGAAGGGCUUAGGGUUGGAAAGCUCUUUCAGCUGGGAAGAUAAUGACGGUACCAGCAGAAGAAGCCCCGGCUAACUCCGUG